Molecule: microRNA precursor, 81 nt
Organism: Cercocebus atys (sooty mangabey)
Lineage: Eukaryota; Metazoa; Chordata; Mammalia; Primates; Cercopithecidae
Source: Ensembl
AUUCAGGCUGGUCCUGCAGAGAGGAAGCCCUUCUGCUUCCAGGUAUUGGAAGGGCUUCCUCUCUGCAGGACCAGCCUGAAU